RNAcentral lists this ribosomal RNA (242 nucleotides) under uncultured bacterium. RNAcentral describes it as "partial 16S ribosomal RNA". It matches the Rfam family "Bacterial small subunit ribosomal RNA", at positions 92 to 334 of the family's 1533-position model. The record is from RNAcentral.
CGACCGGCGCACGGGUGAGUAACGCGUAUCCAACCUGCCUUACACUCUUGGACAGCCUUCUGAAAGGGAGAUUAAUACAAGAUGUUAUCAUGAGUAAGCAUUUUCACAUGAUUAAAGGUUUACCGGUGUAAGAUGGGGGUGCGUUCCAUUAGAUAGUAGGCGGGGUAACGGCCCACCUAGUCUUCGAUGGAUAGGGGUUCUGAGAGGAAGGUCCCCCACAUUGGAACUGAGACACGGUCCAA